GUUCUUUUCAUUGAUGACACCAACAGCAAAAUGACAAAAACGAUAGCGCACAGUUCUGUAAGGCAAAAUAAACUAUACAGAAAACAAGAUCCCAAAAGGAAAAAGACCUAUAUAUGAUCCCCAAUCAGAGACAACGAUAGACAGCUGCCUCUGAUUGGGAACCAUUCUCAGCCAAAAACACAAAGAAAUAGAAAACAGAUUUUCCCACCCAAGUCACACCCUGACCUAACCAAACAUAGAGAAUAAUAAGGAUCUCUAAGUGAGUGCAGUGAGGACUUCAUGUGUGAGACGAGUAGAACUAACUUCCAGAAUCAUGGGAGGAGGAUUGAAAGUCCAUGCGCAUCCUUGGUCUUGAAGGAGAACAGGACGGCCCAGCGGUUACUUUCAGCGCUGCCUCCUCUGGUCCGAAGAGAGGUGAUGAUCCAGGGUCCCAAGAUGUCCAGUCCAACAUGAGUGAACGGAGGAUCAGAGGCACGUCUGUCUGCAGGAAAGUCUGACAUCUUUUGUUCUUCCAGUUUUCCUCUACGUUUUCUGCAGAUCACACACUUAUAGAUUAUGCUGGAUACCAGUCUUUUACUUCCAAUGAUCCACAAUCCAGCUGACCGGACUGCAC
Molecule: long non-coding RNA, 613 nt
Organism: Oncorhynchus tshawytscha (Chinook salmon)
Lineage: Eukaryota; Metazoa; Chordata; Actinopteri; Salmoniformes; Salmonidae
Source: Ensembl